This 202-nucleotide long non-coding RNA is filed under the name Elaeis guineensis (African oil palm). RNAcentral describes it as "long non-coding RNA (EGUI_LNC041934)". The record is from RNAcentral. Lineage: Eukaryota; Viridiplantae; Streptophyta; Magnoliopsida; Arecales; Arecaceae.
UAGAUCUAAUUUUUAUCAUAAAAAAUUAAAAAAAAAAUUCUUCUUAAAGGUAUGAAAGGAAGAGAGAAAAGUUCUCUCUUAUGUGUGGGAGAAUUAAAAAGAAAGGAUUCUUCUCUUGAUCUCUAUUGUAGAGAGUUGAUAUGUAGAUUCAGGAAGAAAAAGAGUGGGUCUCCUCAUUCUUUAUCCUCUUCAUGUUCCUCUU